Molecule: long non-coding RNA, 491 nt
Organism: Passer domesticus (house sparrow)
Lineage: Eukaryota; Metazoa; Chordata; Aves; Passeriformes; Passeridae
Exons: 3
Source: RefSeq, a predicted model, not a curated record
GAGGGGACAGGCAGGACAGCUCAGCUGUGUCACCUCACAGGUGCACUCCUUCAGCACAGGCUGUUCUUGCACUCUGCUCUGCUCUACUCACAGCUGAAAGUUACCAGGACCAAUCAAAACACAGGGUGGAUGUUCAAAUUGCAUUUCUCUCCUUUUUUAUCUGACCAUUUUCCUCCAGUGUUUUGCAUUGGAUUUGGAGGGCCACUUAUACAGAAGGUUAAGACCCAAUCUCAGGACUGACAAUCACCUGUGCAAAUGUAACCAACUGAUUGCUUUGUUGGAAAUCCACCUAACAUCAGAAAGAAAGAGAAAACUUGGAAGUGCAGCAACAACCGCCUCCAGUUCUCUGCCAGAUUUCCUUCAGGAUUUAAUGAUUCAGGUGGCUUCAUUUGCUAAAUUUUUGCCAAAAAAAAAAAAAAAAAGAAGAAAAAAAAAUCUCCACUGACACCAUAUAAUAAAGUUGAGCAAACAGGAGGGCUGGUAGGAGACUU